AAAAUUAGGAGUGAGCAUUCGGUUAUAACCGAACCAAAAUGACUAUUCGGUUAUAACCGAAAACCGAAUUGACGCUAAUUUCACUAUCCGAACCAAAAACCGAAAUUUAAAACUAACCGAAUUACCGAAUGUACAAUUCGGUAAUUCGGAUAAUAACCGAACUUGUGCACAAAAUUAAAAUUAAGAAUAAAGCAACAGAUUACAAAGUAGCUUAACUUAAAUACUUAACAGUUAACAACAACAUGCCAAGUUAAUAGAUAAUAUUAACUAAAAAUGUCAUGGAACCUAAAAUUAUCGUACCAAAGAUUUAGCUCAAGAGAACCCUGCCUUGAUAUAGUUACCUAAUCCCUGAUUUAUGUCACCAACAUCUUCAAACAGAAUCUAAACCCCAUAAUAAUUCACCAAAAUGGGUUUCUCCAACUAGCAUAAGUCCUCUAUCUUUCAGAACCAAUACUAGGGGAAAAAAACUCCAAUAACUAUAAAUGUAUCGAGCAGAUAUUUUCUGGAGUAUGCAAAAAUUCUCACAAUUCUCACAAUUCAUCAGCUAUGUAUCGAGCAGAUAUUUCUCACAGUUUCUAAUUAACCUCCGCACAUAAUCUAUAACUUCAAUUCUUCUUUUUUCAGAUACAACAGUGGGCUGAACCUGACUAAUAAUCUUCUGGGUCGAUUUCUCUGCUAUGGCCCAGCGUUCAGCCCCAAUCCGAGAUGGAUUAGGGUCCGACGAGGGUGACUGCACCAGCCUUUCUUCUUCUGCUAAGGUGAUGUUUGGUUCCUGAAGAUCGCUCAUGAAAGUCCCAGAUAAUGCGAAAGCCAAAAAGGAUUCCUCACCCAGGUGGCUUUUAGACAGCCAUUAACUUGAAGUCUUGAUCAGAGCUUUUAGACAGCCAUUUUUAGUACGAUAAUGCCGAGACGACAGUCAGUGAGGGUCCGUCGAGACGAGAGUUGAUCGAGAGUGACUGAGUGAGGAAUCGAGAAUUCGAGUCUUUGAAAUCUCAGAUCUGGGCGACUGGCGAGUGGAUAAGGGUUAGGGAAAAAUGGGAUUGGGGGAAAACUCAGAAAACAAAAUGGGGGAAUACUGAUACUCUGAUAGUCGAAUAGAAGUUAAUAGAUAAUAUGAUUAAUAAUUAUUAUUUUUAAAUAUUAAAAUUCGGUUAUUCGGGUACCCGAAUAAUCUGUUUUUUGAAAACUGGAAUCGAAAUCGAAUACUGAAUAAUAAUUCGUAUAUAACCGAAAUUCCAAAAAAAAACCAAAAACCAAAAUAAUUCGGUUAAAAUGGUUCGGUUCGAUAGUUCGAUUUUAUCCGUUUUUUG
This 1310-nucleotide long non-coding RNA is filed under the name Panax ginseng (ginseng). RNAcentral's name for it is "long non-coding RNA (PGIN_LNC001143)". The record is from RNAcentral. Lineage: Eukaryota; Viridiplantae; Streptophyta; Magnoliopsida; Apiales; Araliaceae.